UUGAUUUCUGGCUCAGGAUGAACGCUGGCGGCGUGCUUAACACAUGCAAGUCGAACGGUGAACACGGAGCUUGCUCUGUGGGAUCAGUGGCGAACGGGUGAGUAACACGUGAGCAACCUGCCCCUGACUCUGGGAUAAGCGCUGGAAACGGCGUCUAAUACUGGAUAUGUGACGUGACCGCAUGGUCUGCGUUUGGAAAGAUUUUUCGGUUGGGGAUGGGCUCGCGGCCUAUCAGCUUGUUGGUGAGGUAAUGGCUCACCAAGGCGUCGACGGGUAGCCGGCCUGAGAGGGUGACCGGCCACACUGGGACUGAGACACGGCCCAGACUCCUACGGGAGGCAGCAGUGGGGAAUAUUGCACAAUGGGCGAAAGCCUGAUGCAGCAACGCCGCGUGAGGGAUGACGGCCUUCGGGUUGUAAACCUCUUUUAGCAGGGAAGAAGCGAAAGUGACGGUACCUGCAGAAAAAGCGCCGGCUAACUACGUGCCAGCAGCCGCGGUAAUACGUAGGGCGCAAGCGUUAUCCGGAAUUAUUGGGCGUAAAGAGCUCGUAGGCGGUUUGUCGCGUCUGCUGUGAAAUCCCGAGGCUCAACCUCGGGCCUGCAGUGGGUACGGGCAGACUAGAGUGCGGUAGGGGAGAUUGGAAUUCCUGGUGUAGCGGUGGAAUGCGCAGAUAUCAGGAGGAACACCGAUGGCGAAGGCAGAUCUCUGGGCCGUAACUGACGCUGAGGAGCGAAAGGGUGGGGAGCAAACAGGCUUAGAUACCCUGGUAGUCCACCCCGUAAACG
Molecule: ribosomal RNA, 786 nt
Filed under: bacterium
Lineage: Bacteria
Description: bacterial SSU rRNA
Rfam family: Bacterial small subunit ribosomal RNA
Source: RNAcentral